Molecule: ribosomal RNA, 253 nt
Filed under: uncultured bacterium
Lineage: Bacteria
Description: partial 16S ribosomal RNA
Rfam family: Bacterial small subunit ribosomal RNA
Source: RNAcentral
UACGAAGGGGGCUAGCGUUGCUCGGAAUUACUGGGCGUAAAGCGCACGUAGGCGGUCUGCUAAGUUGGAUGUGAAAACUCUGGGCUUAACCCAGAGCCUGCAUUCAAAACUGACAGGCUAGAGUUCUGGAGGGGGAAGCGGAAUUCCUGGUGUAGCGGUGAAAUGCGUAGAUAUCAGGAGGAACACCAGUGGCGAAGGCGGCUGACUGGUCCGGUUCUGACGCUGAGGCGCGAAAGCGUGGGGAGCAAACAGG